This 719-nucleotide long non-coding RNA is filed under the name Androctonus crassicauda. The record is from RNAcentral. Lineage: Eukaryota; Metazoa; Arthropoda; Arachnida; Scorpiones; Buthidae.
AAGAAUACGUGGCGAAAAAUCUCAAUGUAUGGAAUAACUGUUUUUUUUUUUUUUUUAAUCGUCGGGUUUAGGCUCUUCCAAAAAGAGAAUCUUAAUGAUGGCACAUAAAUUGUAUGACGUUGUUGCAGUGUCAAAAACAUGUGGUGUUUUCGUAGAGUGUACUUUCACUAAUAGCACACACUAUGCUAUAAUUAAUAAACUUCAAGUGUUGGUAAUAAUAAUACACACUUUCUUCCUUGGCAUUGAUUCCCUACUGGAUGUAUCAACUCCUUUUGACCUUGUAUCAAUGCCAUUUAACUUACGUAUUCGUUAUUUAUCUGAUGAAGAGAUACACGAACUCUUUUGAACACAAUCAAACUUACCUAUAAUCACUCCCAGCACCAUAAAGAUAUAAGUCAAUAAAACAGUUUAAAUUUUUACAUAUCUGUAUGUGAAAUUUAAGUGGAAGCAUUUAUUUUUAGAGUGUAACGGAUAUUAUUUAUAAUCAUGUAUUAAUGUUUAAUACGAAAACCAUUUAUUAUUGAAUAUUUGGAGUGAUAGCACUUUUUAACAUACGAAAAAGUUUAAAUGAAAAUAAUUUUUUAGUUUUCAUUUUUAUUUUCUUAAUGAUUUUAGAAUGGAUAGUAUAAACCAUUCGCAAGUAUUUUCUGUUCCUUGUAGAAAAAUAAAAAAGUUUACGACGGAAACUAAACAAGACAUAUUGAUGAUAUAUAUAUAUU